This 83-nucleotide transfer RNA is filed under the name hydrothermal vent metagenome. RNAcentral's name for it is "tRNA-Leu-TAG". It matches the Rfam family "tRNA". From Rfam's summary of the family: Transfer RNA (tRNA) molecules are approximately 80 nucleotides in length. Their secondary structure includes four short double-helical elements and three loops (D, anti-codon, and T loops). Further hydrogen bonds mediate the characteristic L-shaped molecular structure. tRNAs have two regions of fundamental functional importance: the anti-codon, which is responsible for specific mRNA codon recognition, and the 3' end, to which the tRNAs corresponding amino acid is attached (by aminoacyl-tRNA synthetases). tRNAs cope with the degeneracy of the genetic code in two manners: having more than one tRNA (with a specific anti-codon) for a particular amino acid; and 'wobble' base-pairing, i.e. permitting non-standard base-pairing at the 3rd anti-codon position. The record is from RNAcentral.
GCGAGUGUGGCGGAAUUGGCAGACGCGCCAGAUUUAGGAUCUGGUGUCCUUAGGACGUGGGGGUUCAAGUCCCCCCUCUCGCA